UACGUAGGUGGCGAGCGUUGUCCGGAUUUACUGGGCGUAAAGAGCGCGCAGGCGGACCUGCAAGUCGGGGGUGAAAGCCCGAGGCUCAACCUCGGAACUGCCUUCGAUACUGCGGGUCUCGAGUCCGGGAGAGGUGAGUGGAAUUCCUAGUGUAGAGGUGAAAUUCGUAGAUAUUAGGAAGAACACCAGUGGCGAAGGCGGCUCACUGGCCCGGUACUGACGCUGAGGCGCGAAAGCGUGGGGAGCAAACAGG
RNAcentral lists this ribosomal RNA (253 nucleotides) under uncultured bacterium. Its description in RNAcentral is "partial 16S ribosomal RNA". It matches the Rfam family "Bacterial small subunit ribosomal RNA", at positions 524 to 776 of the family's 1533-position model. The record is from RNAcentral.